Molecule: long non-coding RNA, 426 nt
Filed under: Pelobates cultripes (western spadefoot toad)
Lineage: Eukaryota; Metazoa; Chordata; Amphibia; Anura; Pelobatidae
Source: RNAcentral
ACUGACGUUCAGCAUCUCCACGCUUUGCAUGGAGACAGCGAACUUUCCCAAUUGAGAUGCAUAAAUAAUAUGUCAGUUGAAAUUCUGGAAGAACCACUGUUACUUAUCCAACCCCCCCUCCUCCCCUUCUUUUUAAUGAAGAUGGGGAGUACUAUUUAAGAAAACUAAGCAGAAGGACGCUGUACUGUGUGAAAGUGGUAGGAAAACAGAAAAUGCACUAUAACUGAGAUAACAGAAUAAUUUAUAAAACAGUGGAUUUAAUAUUUGUUAUUAUGAAUAACAUGGUCAUUUCUAUUCAGGAUGGCUGCUCAUCAGCAACGCUAUGAACCCCUACCAGUUCCCGAUCUCCAGCGCCUUCUGUGGAGUCACAAAACAAGCACGGGACAUGUCAACCAAGUGUGGCCAAAACUGUAUCUGGGAGACGCG